CCUACGGGAGGCAGCAGUAGGGAAUAUUGCUCAAUGGGGGAAACCCUGAAGCAGCAACGCCGCGUGGAGGAUGAAGGUUUUCGGAUUGUAAACUCCUUUUGUUAGAGAAGAUCAUGACGCUAUCUAACAAAUAAGCACCGGCUAAAUCCGUGCCAGCAGCCGCGGUAAUACGGAGGGUGCAAGCGUUACUCGGAAUCACUGGGCGUAAAGAGCGCGUAGGCGGGAUAGCAAGUCAGAUGUGAAAUCCUAUGGCUAAACCAUAGAACUGCAUUUGAAACUGUUAUUCUAGAGUAUGGGAGAGGUAGGUGGAAUUCUUGGUGUAGGGGUAAAAUGCGUAGAGAUCAAGAGGAAUACUCAUUGCGAAGGCGACCUGCUAGAACAUAACUGACGCUGAGGCGCGAAAGCGUGGGGAGCAAACAGGAUUAGAUACCCGAGUAGUC
RNAcentral lists this ribosomal RNA (440 nucleotides) under uncultured bacterium. Its description in RNAcentral is "partial 16S ribosomal RNA". It matches the Rfam family "Bacterial small subunit ribosomal RNA", at positions 338 to 795 of the family's 1533-position model. The record is from RNAcentral.